This 274-nucleotide ribosomal RNA is filed under the name uncultured bacterium. Its description in RNAcentral is "partial 16S ribosomal RNA". It matches the Rfam family "Bacterial small subunit ribosomal RNA", at positions 335 to 599 of the family's 1533-position model. The record is from RNAcentral.
ACUCCUACGGGAGGCAGCAGUGGGGAAUAUUGGACAAUGGGGACCGGUAGCAUCCAGCCAUGCCGCGCUGUGUGAAGAAGGCCUUUUGGUUGUAAAGCACUUUAAGCGAGGAGGAGGCUUACCUGGUUAAUACCCGGGAUAAGUGGACGUUACUCGCAGAAUAAGCACCGGCUAACUCUGUGCCAGCAGCCGCGGUAAUACAGAGGGUGCAAGCGUUAAUCGGAUUUACUGGGCGUAAAGCGCGCGUAGGUGGCUAAUUAAGUCAAAUGUGAAU